AUACGGAGGAUCCGAGCGUUAUCCGGAUUUAUUGGGUUUAAAGGGUGCGCAGGCGGCCAUUUAAGUCAGCGGUUAAAUCGUGGGGCUCAACCCCAUUCUGCCGUUGAUACUGGAUGGCUUGAUUGCGGUCGAGGUCGGCGGAAUUCGUUGUGUAGCGGUGAAAUGCAUAGAUAUGACGAAGAACACCGAUUGCGUAGGCAGCUGACCAGACCGCAAAUGACGCUCAUGCACGAAAGUGCGGGGAUCGAACAGGAUUAGAUACCCUGGUAGUCCGCACAGUAAACGAUGAAUACUUGUUUUCGGCGAUAUAAUGUCGGAGGCAAAGCGAAAGCGAUAAGUAUUCCACCUGGGGAGUACGCCGGCAACGGUGAAACUCAAAUGAAUUGACGGG
This 391-nucleotide ribosomal RNA is filed under the name uncultured bacterium. RNAcentral describes it as "partial 16S ribosomal RNA". It matches the Rfam family "Bacterial small subunit ribosomal RNA", at positions 523 to 917 of the family's 1533-position model. The record is from RNAcentral.